GACGAACGCUGGCGGCGUGCUUAACACAUGCAAGUCGAACGGAAAGGCCCUGCUUGCAGGGUACUCGAGUGGCGAACGGGUGAGUAACACGUGGGUGAUCUGCCCUGCACUUCGGGAUAAGCCUGGGAAACUGGGUCUAAUACCGGAUAGGAGCCCUUUUUAGUGUGAUGGUUGGAAAGUUUUUUCGGUGUAGGAUGAGCUCGCGGCCUAUCAGCUUGUUGGUGGGGUAAUGGCCUACCAAGGCGGCGACGGGUAGCCGGCCUGAGAGGGUGGACGGCCACAUUGGGACUGGGAUACGGCCCAGGCUCCUACGGGAGGCAGCAGUGGGGAAUAGUGAACAAUGGGCGCAAGCCUGAUGCAGCGACGCCGCGGGGGGGAUGACGGCCUUCGGGUUGGAAACUCCUUUCGCCAGGGACGAAGCUUUUUGGGACGGUACCUAGAUAAGAAGCACCGGCUAACUACGUG
RNAcentral lists this ribosomal RNA (465 nucleotides) under uncultured bacterium. Its description in RNAcentral is "partial 16S ribosomal RNA". It matches the Rfam family "Bacterial small subunit ribosomal RNA", at positions 28 to 507 of the family's 1533-position model. The record is from RNAcentral.